This 253-nucleotide ribosomal RNA is filed under the name uncultured bacterium. RNAcentral's name for it is "partial 16S ribosomal RNA". It matches the Rfam family "Bacterial small subunit ribosomal RNA", at positions 524 to 776 of the family's 1533-position model. The record is from RNAcentral.
UACGAGGGGGGCAAGCGUUGUUCGGAUUUAUUGGGCGUAAAGGGUGCGUAGGCGGUUUGGUAAGUCUUAUGUGAAAUCUACAGGCUCAACUUGUAGUCUGCAUGAGAAACUGCCGGGCUUGAGUAUGGGAGAGGUGAGUGGAAUUCCUGGUGUAGCGGUGAAAUGCGUAGAUAUCAGGAGGAACACCUGUGGCGAAAGCGGCUCACUGGACCAUAACUGACGCUGAUGCACGAAAGCUAGGGGAGCAAACAGG